AAGAUAUCAGGAAUAAACAGGAAAUACAAAUCAUUCAUUCUGAAGACGAUCACUGCAGUGUCAGUAUCAGCUCAUUCUAGACUCCCCUCCUGCAGAGUUAAAUUCCGACUUAUCAAGUAUUCAUGUAGAAUUGAAAAUUCCAUCAGGUGUUGAAGCUUAACUCAGGAUGGCAGGUGGCGCCUUCUGGAGCAGAACCUCCUGAGGUGGCUUCCACUCAUGAACUCUCUGCUUGUCCUGUCAUGGUCAAGGAGGCCGUCCAUGAACUCAUAUCCUGCCUGAUUUACCGUGGUAAUUCCCUGCGCCAUCAACUCCACUCAAGUGGUCAUCUGCUCCACCGUCGGGGUCUUCGGCCCGGUCUGUUCUACUGUGUGUGUCUUCAGUACCGCUGACUAAGCCCUGGCUUCCUGCUCCACCAGUUGUGACCUGUUGGUCAUCAGUUCUUCUGGCUCCGCCCUGGCUUCCUGCUCCACCCUGGAUCUGACCUGGUGGUCUCCUGGUCCACUGCUGUAUGGUCUGCCUCUGCUUCUUGGCACAGGUCCUCCACUGUUCCAUUGUCUGCAAGUGUUCCCUGGUCCAGGCCAACCACUGAUUCAAGCCUGCCUCUACUCUAUGAUCCCGUUCCGGCUCCCUUCCACGGGCCUAGCCCCCCAUCCUGCCCCCUGGACCAUCACUGCUUCGACACCCUCCUGGAAAUUUGGGAUUUUAUUUUUUUUUUUAAGGGGGGGGGGUGUUUUUGGUUGUGUUGGCAUUCAUGCUUUUAGUUUAGUUUCUUGGUUUGUCAUGUGAUCAUGUCAUGUGCUACCCUUGUCAGUGUGUUAUGUUCUGAUUGGUUCCUUGGUUCAUGUGUCAUGUUCUCAUUGGUUGUCUUAGUCAUGUGUCAUGUUUCUUGGUUCUUGUCAUGUGACCAUCAUUGUUUGAUAUAAAUAGCCCUCAUUUGGUCUUUGUUCUUUCCCUAGCUUUGAACCGUGUAACCUGCUGUUGGUGAAUUGUGUUUCUGCUUAUGCUAAGUCUGUCUCUGGUCAAGUCUGUUCAUGCCAUGCCAAGUCAAGUCUAUUCUAAGUCAAGUUUCAAAUAGUUUGUUAAAAUCAAGUAUUUGUUUGUAUUUUGGAUUACACUCUGCUUAAUAAAACUGUGCUUGGGUUCAUCUUCUA
Long non-coding RNA from Carassius auratus (goldfish), 1151 nucleotides. RefSeq lists it as uncharacterized. Lineage: Eukaryota; Metazoa; Chordata; Actinopteri; Cypriniformes; Cyprinidae. The transcript is spliced from 4 exons. The record is from RefSeq and is a predicted model, not a curated record.